AUGUUAUUUAUCCUUGUGAUGGAUGUCUUGAACUCUUGUGAACUGGGCUGCUCAUGUGGGUUUGCUGCAACCAGUUUCUAUGCUGAUGAUGUAGUGAUGUUUCUCCAGCCUGCUGCAAAUGACCUCACUAACAUCAGGCAACUUCUGGACAUUUUUGGCCAUGCCUCAGGUCUUGUGACCAAUAUGUCCAAGAGCUCGUUACCCCAAUUCAGUGCAAGGAUGAAGAUAUGGAGGUCGUAUCCAGCAGUUUAUCUUGUGAUAUUAAGCACUUCCCUUGCACCUAUUUGGGUCUCCCACUCACGGUCAAGAAGCCUUCCGAGGCAGACCCCCACCCUCUUGUUGAUAAGGUUGCUAACAAUCUCCCUGGACGAAAGGCAUCACCCAUGA
Molecule: ribosomal RNA, 387 nt
Filed under: Triticum aestivum (bread wheat)
Lineage: Eukaryota; Viridiplantae; Streptophyta; Magnoliopsida; Poales; Poaceae
Description: partial small subunit ribosomal RNA
Source: RNAcentral